CGGGUAUGAAGUCUGAAGCUACAUCCAAGCCUGCUGCCGCCGCCGCAUCGUGCUGGCUCCACGCCGCCUUGCUGUGCACGCCAGGCCGGCGCCCCGACGAGCUCGCGAGGGCACAUCGGCUGCCAAGCUAGGCCAUGACCCCAUCCCAAGGCCUCCGCCGCCACCCCGACGAGCGUGCCAGGCCGUGGCCCCAUCCAAGGCCACCGUCGCUGCCCUGAUGAGCGUGCCAGGCCGCGGCCCCAUCCCAAGGUCUCCAUCGCCGCCUCGAUGAGCGCGCCAGGCCGCGGCCCCAUCCCAAGCCUCCACCUCCGACCCGCCACGCUGCCAGAUAUCCGCCACGCUGCCAGUGUGCAAGGCGGUGGUAGAGCAGUGGCAAGGGCAGUUCUAUAGACAUCUUAGCAUCCCUUUAGCAAUAACCAUCUAGCAAUUUUGACAUCAUAUGCCAUUUUAAGGUAUGCUAACUGAACUUUGGUGCUAUAUGUGAUUGUGGAAUAUUGUCGUUCUGAUAUAAGCUCCACUCUGCUCAAUUUCUAAAAGUUGGUGUGACCGAGAAAGAUGAGAAACAUGGCUCUCACCAGUUUUCUAAUAUUUUUCUCCUGGAGGUUAUUGGAUCUGUCAUCCUAGUUAUAGCAGCAGGAGCAGGAAUUUUAUUUGCAGCUGAUUCUAAUUGGAUAAUACUGGUAGAGAUCAGAAUGCUUUAGCAAGUAGGAAAUAGUAGAGAUCAGAAUGCAGUCAAUUCAGGGGUCAUGGAAUUUGAGAUGGAGCACAUGCACUUGAGUAGGAGCGGAGCAAUCAGAUGGCCGAGCUAUGGACAAGGCUGCACUCACACAUGCUGGAGCUCUAUCCUUCUUACUGCUGUUAUUGUAUAUUGUACUCUAUACAUUUUAUCUCCUUGAUAUCAUUUUGAAAGCGUCUGAAAUCUUCAAAUGUCUUUGUGUGCCCUUUCUUGCUUCCGAAACUUGGCAAAAAGGAAUCCGGGAGCAUAACAGGCAGCGGGCCUCUAAUGUACUGAAUCGUAUAUAACUAUGCAAUGGAGCAAGGAUAAUUCUGGCCUUCUAGGUGCAGCUUGUUUGACUGCAUUUUUCACUGUAAAAGAAGAGUUGUGCAGGGUCAGAGAAUGGUGCACAUUUUUUCACUGUAAAAAAAGAGUUGUGCAAGGGCCUCAAGAUCCAGAUGGCUUCAUCAGCUUGGCUGGCUGUAGCUAAUUAGUAGGAACUCCUCUCACUUGUUACUGCUGCAGCUGUUGGUGGAGCUGUGUUGUACUGACUUCUAAGUCAUAUGUAACUGUGAAUUGAGGUGUGGUAGUGCUUAUUAGCAAAUGAAAGGAUUUGUACAGUGUGUUGUAAUGACUCAUGAGCAGCCAUGUAAUGUUCUCCAGGCUAUACGAAAUGUAAGCCUCAACAAUGUAUCAGUUCUAGCAGUAGCUUGCUGCUAGUAAUAAAAGUGUAAGAACAAGAGGAAUUAUUGUUCAGCUUAUAUAUUUCA
Long non-coding RNA from Sorghum bicolor (sorghum), 1485 nucleotides. RefSeq lists it as uncharacterized. The transcript is spliced from 2 exons. Lineage: Eukaryota; Viridiplantae; Streptophyta; Magnoliopsida; Poales; Poaceae. The record is from RefSeq and is a predicted model, not a curated record.